RNAcentral lists this ribosomal RNA (489 nucleotides) under uncultured bacterium. Its description in RNAcentral is "partial 16S ribosomal RNA". It matches the Rfam family "Bacterial small subunit ribosomal RNA", at positions 27 to 507 of the family's 1533-position model. The record is from RNAcentral.
GGACGAACGCUGGCGGCGUGCUUAACACAUGCAAGUCGAACGGAAAGGCCCUGCUUUUGUGGGGUGCUCGAGUGGCGAACGGGUGAGUAACACGUGAGUAACCUGCCCUUGACUUUGGGAUAACUUCGGGAAACUGGGGCUAAUACCGGAUAGGAGCUCCUGCUGCAUGGUGGGGGUUGGAAAGUUUCGGCGGUUGGGGAUGGACUCGCGGCUUAUCAGCUUGUUGGUGGGGUAGUGGCUUACCAAGGCUUUGACGGGUAGCCGGCCUGAGAGGGUGACCGGCCACAUUGGGACUGAGAUACGGCCCAGACUCCUACGGGAGGCAGCAGUGGGGAAUUUUGGACAAUGGGGGCAACCCUGAUCCAGCCAUGCCGCGUGCGGGAAGAAGGCCUUCGGGUUGUAAACCGCUUUUGUUCGGGAAGAAAUCCUCUGGGCUAAUACCCCGGGGGGAUGACGGUACCGGAAGAAUAAGCACCGGCUAACUACGUG